This 255-nucleotide long non-coding RNA is filed under the name Capra hircus (goat). RNAcentral describes it as "lncRNA (ENSCHIG00000003526.1)". The record is from RNAcentral. Lineage: Eukaryota; Metazoa; Chordata; Mammalia; Artiodactyla; Bovidae.
CUAGCAACAGCUGCUGUGUACGUAGCUGACAUGCACAGCUUAAACCCUUAAACAAGAGCAAAAUGAAUCAUGAAGAAAUCUCUAAUACUAUUAUCCUGACUGCAAGACAAAAAUGCCACCUAUCAGAUAACUGGUACUAACUGAACAUCUUUUGGUGCAGGCAGUUGCUGGCAACAUGAGUUCGUGCUUUGACUGCUAAUUGCUGAGUUGUCUGCUUCCAGAAUACAAACAUUCUCCCAGGAGCUAAGAACAGGC